This 80-nucleotide transfer RNA is filed under the name Salmonella enterica subsp. enterica. RNAcentral's name for it is "tRNA-OTHER". It matches the Rfam family "tRNA". From Rfam's summary of the family: Transfer RNA (tRNA) molecules are approximately 80 nucleotides in length. Their secondary structure includes four short double-helical elements and three loops (D, anti-codon, and T loops). Further hydrogen bonds mediate the characteristic L-shaped molecular structure. tRNAs have two regions of fundamental functional importance: the anti-codon, which is responsible for specific mRNA codon recognition, and the 3' end, to which the tRNAs corresponding amino acid is attached (by aminoacyl-tRNA synthetases). tRNAs cope with the degeneracy of the genetic code in two manners: having more than one tRNA (with a specific anti-codon) for a particular amino acid; and 'wobble' base-pairing, i.e. permitting non-standard base-pairing at the 3rd anti-codon position. Lineage: Bacteria; Pseudomonadati; Pseudomonadota; Gammaproteobacteria; Enterobacterales; Enterobacteriaceae. The record is from RNAcentral.
GGGGCUAUAAGCUCAGCUGGGAGAGCGCUUUACAUGGCAUGCAAGAGAGGUCAACGGUUCGAUCCCGCUUAGCUCCACCA